UCGUUCUCUAUUUUUUUUUACUCAAAUAAUAAAAAACAAAUAAUUAUUCAUUUUAAAUGAUACAAAACGGUCGUCUUGACAAACGUUUUAUAUUUCUUUUUUAUUCUAUAUUUAAAAAAAAAAAAAAAAUUGGAGGGAUAUUUAUGUGGACCAUUGGGAUAUUGAUAAUUACCCUAAUUAUUCAAAGGCUGCUUAACAUAAUUGAAACGCUUCUAUAUUGCACUAUCACUAUUCACUAGAGUAUCAAACUAUCAACUGCUUACUGCUUCAAAAAAAUGAUGAAAAGUGAAACCUCUUGUUGCUCAAUUCACCAAUAACUGCUUCGUCGCCCUACCGCCCCACCGUCGCUCCAUCUCCCCACCGUCGUCCCACCGCCCCACCGUCGUCCCACCGCCAAACUAUUUAACGUCUACUUCACCGCACCGCACCGCUCCGCUACACUACCACUGCACUUUCCAGGUAAUUCAUUCAAAUUUUUCUUGAUUUGGAUGAAUUUGUCAAUCUAAUUGUAUUAAUCAAUCGAAUUUUUCAAUUCAGCUGUAGUGAAUUCAUAUUUUUCAUCCAUUACAGUAAUUUCGAUCGAAUUUUUAGUGGAUUAAAAAAAAUUCACAAUUUUAGUUUUUGGGAAAUAAUUCAAUCAAUUCUUAUAAACGCAAAUAAUUCAAUAGAAUUGCAGUUUUUUCAAUCAAAUUACACUUAAUUUAUUCGAAUUACAAGAAAUUUCAGUAUUAAUCAAAAUUAUUUUCGCCAUAUUAUUCUUACCUAGGUCAAAUAUAGAACCUAAUUAGAUAAAGAAAGAGGUGUAGGGGAAAUUGAUUACCACUAGAUUAUUAUGUUCUAUUAAUUUCAAAAUAUUGGGAAUGAGGGACAUGAAGGCUUUUAAUAAAGCUCUACUCGCUAAGCAAGCUUGGAGGAUCCUAAACAACACUCCCUCACUAAUGGUUAAAACUCUGAAAAAUAAGUACUUCCAAAAUUCUGAAUUUAUGUAUGCUAUGGUGGGUUCUAAUGCGAGUUAUACUUGGAGGGCUAUAUUAUCUGCUCGAGACCUGCUAAAAAAAAGGGGCGGUGAAGUCUAUUGGGAAGGGUCGUAGCAUUGAUAUUUGGCACGAUCCUUGGGUGCCUUCCCUUCCUGGUUUCCGCACUUUUCAGAAUGAAACUCAUAGUCAGGACUCCCCUAAAGUGGUGCAUGAUCUAAUCAGUGAUGGAGAGUGGGAUAGAAUUGAAGUCUCAUUAAUUCUAUUUUCCCCCCCUUGGAAGCUGAAGCUAUAAUGAAUAUCCCUGUUGCUUGCCUCUAUGAUAUGGAUAAGUGGAUGUGGGUACACUCAAAAAAGGGGGAAUUUUCUGUCCAAAGUGCCUACUAUGUGCAAUUGCAGGCUAAUCAAACUUAUCGUGCUUCUAUCUCUGAUGCGAGUUGGAUCACUAUUUGGGGAAAGCUUUGGAAUGCAAAUAUACCUCUAAAAAUCAAGCACUUUGGCUGGAGAGCUCUUCAGAAUAGCAUCCCUGUUAGAAGCAUUCUGAAAAAAAGAAAUAUUUGUGAGAAUGAUGGUUGCCCGUGCUAUGGUGUGGCUGCUGAAACAAUCAUACACUCCCUUUUCACUUGCUUUGAAGCUAAGGUGAUUUGGUACCUUUCCCCUCUUCAUCUUGAUACUAGCAAGUGUGGAGAAUCCUCUUUUCUGGUGUGGUGCAGCAAGUUGGAGCACUAUUAUAAGGAUAAAAAUUGGUGGGAUAUUUUUUGUUGCUUAGUGUGGGAAAUCUGGUUGAAAAGAAACACUCACUAUUUUGAGAAAAAAAAUCAUGACUUUAGAGAAGGUGAUUUGCAAGGCAAUGAAUAUGGUGGGUGAGUACAAGAAAGCUAAUGAAAAAAUUCCUUAUGAGAUGUGUGAAAGGCAAAGUGUUAACAAGAAGUGGUCUCCUUCUGCUGUUGGGUACUACAAGAUUAACUCAGAUGUUGCUGUGUUUGGUGACAACAUGAUAGGCUUGGGUGGGAUCAUGAGAGAUCACCUUGGUGAUGUUAUGGCAGCAACUUGUUGUUUACGGCAUGGGUGUUUUGAGGUGGAUAUUGAUGAAGCUUUUGCAGCAAGACAUUGCCUGACCAUUGCUUUGGAUGCAGGACUGCAUGAUUUAGUACUGGAAACUGACUGCAGCAAGUUGUACAAGUAUUUACAGCAUGGGAAAUGUGAAACUUCAGCCUUUGGUGUUAUUGUUAGUGAUAUUCUUCUCUUGGCUAGCUCUUUCUCUAGUAUUUCUAUUUCACAGGUUGGUAGAGAUGGCAAUUGUGCCGCUCAUUUAUUAGCUAGAGGAAGCAUUGAGUUUGGUGAGAUGAGAGUAUAAUUAGAACUUAGAAGAAGUGCCACAUUAUGCUUGUAAUACCGUGCUGCUAUAUUUAACUAGCCUGGAGUAAUAUUAUGCUCAGAUUUUUUGUCCAAAAAAACAAAACAAAAAAAAAAACUCUAAGUUGCAAAUUAUUUUAGAAAAAUUGAUUUGCUUUUCUUUUCUUUCAUAAAAGGGUUGGUUAUGAGAUGCUGUGAUUGAAAUUUAGUUAUGAUUUAAUCUAAUUCUAGUGAUGUAUAAGAGUAGUAAUGGUGUUUGUGGAUUUUCGGUAGCUGAUUGUGAAGAGAGAAGAGCAGGAAAUCAAAAUCUUAUGGAAGUGAAUUUAUAAUAAUAGUAAGGUGGCAGAGUUGAUUAAAGGAAAAUUUCUUGUUGGUUGAUUGUGAAGAGUUGAACUUGAUACGUUAGUGCCCCUCCUUCCCUGACACUGGUAAUAUUUGUUGAUUAUAUCUGCAUCCUACUUUUGAAACUAUAACGUCAACUUAUCCAUCUCUUAACAGUUAACAGGCACUUUUGCUAAGUCAUCCAAAGAAAGACAUGGUGACAUUGCAGAAUAACAACCAUUUAUAAAGUACUCCGUUUUCUGGUCUAUAAAUUUAGGUUUUGUACAAGGAUUUCCAGAGGAUGUUCAGGAGGCCGAGUCUUAGAACCUGGUUUGUGCGAAGAAUUUGGUGAUAGACAAGAGCAUCCAAAAAGCAUACAUUGAAGCAAUCAGAUCUGCUCAACAUUUCAUUUAUAUAGAAAAACAGUAUUUCCUUGGAUCAUCAUAUGCUUGGCCAAAUUACAAAAAUGCCGGUGCUGAUCAUUUGAUACCAAUGGAGUUGGCCUUGAAGAUUGUUAGCAAAAUCUGAGCCAAAGAGAGAUUUGUUGUCUAAGUUGUCAUCCCUAUGUGAAUUGUAGAUCAAUAUGGUAUUGGUAUAUCUAAGCAUUAUUUUUUUAAAAUCAACAUUAACUAGAAAGGUGUUUUGAUAUUAAACUCAGGUAUUUAUUUGUACAGAACAAAUUUCGUAUGGAUGGUAGAAUUUAAUUGUGGUUAGAUGUUUUAAAUUAUAUAUAUGAAGUAUAUUUUGAUGGCUUUUGUCGUAUUUGGAAAUAUUUUUGUUAAUUUUAUUAUACAGAAAUUUAUAUUGCACGUAUAUAGGAUCAUGGAUUUAUU
This is a long non-coding RNA of Chenopodium quinoa (quinoa), 3484 nucleotides long. RefSeq lists it as uncharacterized. NCBI's taxonomy places the organism in Eukaryota, Viridiplantae, Streptophyta, Magnoliopsida, Caryophyllales, Amaranthaceae. The transcript has 4 exons. The record is from RefSeq and is a predicted model, not a curated record.